UACUAUUUGAAAUUCUACAGAUGGAGACUCUCAAAGGGUACUUUUCCCUUUAACUUUCUCUCUUUGUUUCUAAUUUUGUUUUUUAGUAGUUUUAAUUGUUCAGGGUUUGACUCAAACCGUUUGAGAGCUUGGUGUUUACUUGCAACCACAUUCUUGGAUUCUCUAACACAAGGUUGUAAGGCUGAAUAUCGUGUGAAUCAGAUAAGGAAUAACUAUUUUAACUUAUCUUGAAUCAAUAUACAAUUAUAUUAAUCGAAAUAAGCUAGAGAAAGGUUUAUUUGUCUGUGGUAUAAGCAGUGGCAUAAGUUGCUGGAAGAACUUGCACGAUAGAGUAAAACAAGAAUAUCAACUAGCCACGAACUCCUACUUCUUAAAGCACCGCAAUCCGUAGCUGUGAAAAAAUGUGAGAGAUCAAGUUCUAGAGAAAAACCAAAAGCUAAGCAAGAUUCAGAUUUGUGGAAGUAAAGCUUUUGCAUGAUAAUUCAAUAAAAUCAUAUUCAGAUCUAUCGCAAUGGAGCAUUAAAAUGGUCGUGCGUCAUAUUUGCCCAUUCGAGUCCAAAGUCAAGAUCUAUUUAGAGCAAUCAAAAUACACAUUUUGAAAAGAAGUCUUCUUUCAUCCUUGCACGGUGAAGAACAAAGACUCUGCUUCCCUUUCCAGGAUUCUUAUUCGUUUGGUUGUUGAAAGAUACCAAGAACUCUCAUCAAAACUAGAGUACAAUUUUCCAUUGAAGUAGCAAGAGUAGAUCUAUGGAGGUGCUUUCCAGGAUUUUGAAGUAACGUGAAGCUGAAUAUUGAAAAUAUGCAAAGACAAAAAGGCUCGAGCGGGAAUCAGGGAGGUUCACUUCCAUUGACUUACAUCGACAGCAGAAGGCAGUAGUCAAGGUGCUCUCCUGAUUAGGUGGUGCUAGAGAAAACGAAGGAAAGCCUAGGUGCAUGGUGCAACAUAUGGUAAUUUGUUGGAUUGUUGCCCCCAAGACAUGAAAGUACUGAAACCAUUGGAAGGGCUUUGACUCUCGGUGUUAACAUCAAGAUGAUCACUGAUAACCAGUUGUAAACUUGGAAUGGGAAUAAACAUGUAUCCAUCUUCGGCUUUUCUUGGUUGUAAGUUUUGUCACGUAAGAGACAUGGAGAACAUACCUGGCAGAGAAUCAAGUGAAUUCCUCCAAAGAACUGAUCAGAUUAGAAAGAGCUAGUGUCUUGCGGCUGAAUAGAAUGGGAGAUAUGUAAAGGAAGGAACAAAUACUUUUGACAAACUAUUUAGGCCAUCGUCAAAGAUUUUGCAACAUACACAUCCAUUAAUUAGUAUUCAGUAGACAGUGGAAAGAAGUGUCUAAAGGAAACUUGAACCCAGAUGUCUGCAUAGAGGUAAAUCCACAUAAGAUCUCACACCCUCGGCCAAGUUCACAUCACACAUUAGAAUUAUAGAACCUUGACGUGUCUUUAUUCGGUGGAGCAUGGAAUUCUUCUCAUUGUAGAUCGCUGCUUGACAUUGUUUGACAAUCCACUGGUCGACUCUCUUCACACAACUUACAAUGAGCUCAAGGUAGGUUAAUGAACUCGAGCUAUGAUUGUUAUCAGCUUCUUGCAUAUCCACAUAUACAUCAAUAAAUUCCUUCAUUCGUUGAACAUAUGUAGUUACAGAAAGAAUGCAAGAACCAGACUUAAAAAUGGGUGUGUUCGGCAUUCUAAAUCAAUGUCACAAAGGAGACAAGCGGUAAGAACCACCAAACCCCAUUGACGAAGAUGGUCUCCUGGAAGAUUUGGCACGUAAGAGACGUAGAGAACAUACUUGUUGGAGCAUCAAAUGAUUUCCUCCAAAGAAAUUGAUUAGAUUGGGAAGACUAGUGUCUCGCGGCUGAAUAGGUAAGCAUGCUUGGAGCAUAACGGCUAGCGGCAAUGUCCAACUGCCAUUAGGAACAACCUGAAAAUCUACAUCGACCUCUUUGAUAGCGUGAUAUAGUCAUGUGUGCAUGCAUACAUUCAUAUGUGCAUACAUUCAUACAUCCAUACAUUCAUGCAUACAUUCAUACAUUCAUACAUUCAUACAUUCAUACAUCCAUACAUGCAUGCAUACAUUCAUACAUGCAUACAUUCAUAC
This 2098-nucleotide small RNA is filed under the name Arabidopsis thaliana (thale cress). RNAcentral's name for it is "putative long intergenic non-coding RNA". The record is from RNAcentral. Lineage: Eukaryota; Viridiplantae; Streptophyta; Magnoliopsida; Brassicales; Brassicaceae.